This 197-nucleotide non-coding RNA is filed under the name uncultured Mediterraneibacter sp. Lineage: Bacteria; Bacillati; Bacillota; Clostridia; Lachnospirales; Lachnospiraceae. The record is from RNAcentral.
UAACUGAUAUUCCGAGAAGUGGAAUGAAGGGGUAACGCCCUGAAACGCUUCCCCUGAUACUGCGUUGGAAGAAACGGAGCACAAUCUCCGGGACUGACACAGCACGCUGAAGUCGGCUGAAUAUACUCGCCUUGUGCGGAAAACGGCAGGGCAAAAGCGAGCCAGAGGUGGCCGCGAGUAAUAGGCCGGGGGUUCAC